This 200-nucleotide unclassified non-coding RNA is filed under the name Hevea brasiliensis (rubber tree). The record is from RNAcentral. Lineage: Eukaryota; Viridiplantae; Streptophyta; Magnoliopsida; Malpighiales; Euphorbiaceae.
GUUUCUAUGCUUAGAGAUGAUGGAAAGACAAAUCUUAAAGAAAGGUACAGGAGAUUCAGUAUUGCUUUCGAGGAGGUAUACAAAAACCAGACACGCUGGUGCAUUCCAGAUCUUCAGCUCCGGGAAGAUCUGCAAAUUUCAACUUCACAGAAAGUAAUCCCUGCUUAUCGAAAUUUUGUUGGGAUUAACAACAGCAAUGU